This 52-nucleotide ribosomal RNA is filed under the name uncultured organism. RNAcentral describes it as "partial 16S ribosomal RNA". The record is from RNAcentral.
UGGGCUUGACAUGUGCGGAAUCCUGCAGAGAUGCGGGAGUGCCCUUCGGGGA